RNAcentral lists this transfer RNA (68 nucleotides) under Rhinopithecus bieti 1 RL-2012. RNAcentral describes it as "tRNA-Trp". It matches the Rfam family "tRNA". From Rfam's summary of the family: Transfer RNA (tRNA) molecules are approximately 80 nucleotides in length. The record is from RNAcentral. Lineage: Eukaryota; Metazoa; Chordata; Mammalia; Primates; Cercopithecidae.
AGAAAUUUAGGUUAAACUAGACCAAAAGCCUUCAAAGCUUUUAGUAAGUUAAAAACACUUAAUUUCUG